This 217-nucleotide ribosomal RNA is filed under the name uncultured bacterium. RNAcentral describes it as "partial 16S ribosomal RNA". It matches the Rfam family "Bacterial small subunit ribosomal RNA", at positions 326 to 539 of the family's 1533-position model. The record is from RNAcentral.
ACGCUCGACACCUACGGGAAGCAGCAGUGAGGAAUAUUGGUCAAUGGGCGCUAGCCUGAACCAGCCAAGUAGCGUGAAGGAUGAAGGCUCUAUGGGUCGUAAACUUCUUUUAUAUAAGAAUAAAGUGCAGUAUGUAUACUGUUUUGUAUGUAUUAUAUGAAUAAGGAUCGGCUAACUCCGUGCAGCAGCCGCGGUAAUCUGAGCGGGCUGGCAAGGC